AUGGGCUUGCUCAAUCUGGGGCAGACGCGCCAGUUCUGGCGUGGAGAGAGGAGGAAGGUGAGACGGGAGGCCAAGGCAACGGCGAGAUCCACGUCGAGCUGCCAUGGCCAUGACCUGAUCCACGACGAGGUUAAAUGGGGGCGGCUGCUUCCUAAAGGACGACGAAGCUCUCCAAGGAUUGACCCGGCGAAAUACAAGAGCAUCUCAUCUGGAUUUAGCGUUCUGCUAAAGGAGCAAGGAGCUAGGGGAUUUUUCAGGGGAUGGGUGCCUACCAUGCUUGGUUCCAGUGCUCAGGGGGCUUGCAAGUUUGGGUUCUACAAGUUCUUUAAGAAGACCUACUCAGAUAUGGUUGGGCCUGAGAAUGCCGUGAAGUACAUGACCCUAUAA
This 387-nucleotide ribosomal RNA is filed under the name Triticum aestivum (bread wheat). RNAcentral's name for it is "partial small subunit ribosomal RNA". The record is from RNAcentral. Lineage: Eukaryota; Viridiplantae; Streptophyta; Magnoliopsida; Poales; Poaceae.